GAUCAUGGCUCAGAACGAACGCUGGCGGCGCGUUUAAGCAUGCAAGUCGAGCGGCAAGGGCCUUCGGGCCCCUAGAGCGGCGGACGGGUGAGUAACACGUGGACAAUCUGCCCCCCGGCCCGGGAUAGCCCAGGGAAACCUGGAUUAAUACCGGAUGAGACGGGACCCGCGAUGGCGGGACCCGGGAAAGGCGCUGCGGCGCCGCCGGGGGAUGAGUCUGCGUCCCAUUAGCUAGACGGCGGGGUAACGGCCCACCGUGGCGACGAUGGGUAGCCGGCCUGAGAGGGUGGACGGCCACAUUGGAACUGAGACACGGUCCAGACUCCUACGGGAGGCAGCAGCUAAGAAUCUUCCGCAAUGGGCGAAAGCCUGACGGAGCCGACGCCGCGUGAACGAAGAAGGCCGUGAGGUUGUAAAGUUCUUUUCGGGAGGGGGAACAACCGUGGCAGGGAAUGGCCGCGGGAUGACGUGAAUCCCGGAAUAAGCCCCGGCUAACUACGUGCCAGCCGCCGC
RNAcentral lists this ribosomal RNA (513 nucleotides) under uncultured bacterium. Its description in RNAcentral is "bacterial SSU rRNA". It matches the Rfam family "Bacterial small subunit ribosomal RNA", at positions 15 to 518 of the family's 1533-position model. The record is from RNAcentral.